Long non-coding RNA from Capsicum annuum, 1209 nucleotides. RefSeq lists it as uncharacterized. NCBI's taxonomy places the organism in Eukaryota, Viridiplantae, Streptophyta, Magnoliopsida, Solanales, Solanaceae. The record is from RefSeq and is a predicted model, not a curated record. The transcript has 2 exons.
UUAAAUUAAAUUUGAACCAUUCGAUCAAAGAUCGGAUGGAUAAAAAAUAGUCACGUUUAAUCAACUCUUUAUAUUUACCCAUAUGUAUGUGUGUGUAUUAAAUCUAGACUGUCCGAUCAAAUGAUCGGAUGAACCAUAUUUCAGUCAACAAUGUCUGUAUGAUAACAUCUUUUCUCACCAUAAAAGAAGGGAGUCAGGUCACGCGUGACCUUUCUCCAAGGAGUCAUUUGAUGAGUCUCCAUCUAUUUUCCAAAAAAGAACAACACAAACCACACUUCUCUCUUCUUCCUUUCUCUACCACCUUAAAAUAGAAGCUUACAUCAGUCGGGUCAUCGCCAUAGCUAUGGCUCCCUUUUGAGAUUCCCCUAUUUUCGCUCCCUAAGCCCGUGAAUCUGAAGUGGCAGAAAAGAGCAGUCCCAAAAUGAUACAACAAUCUAUUAUUGAUUUUGAAGGAGAUUUUUUAAUUCAAAUCUUCUCUCUCCCUUUUUCUUCUUUCUAUUUUAAUUUUUGAGGUUUUAAAUUCGGACUUUCAAGUCUAAAUUUGUACCUAUAAAUAGUGAUCAUCCGUAACCAUGGAGGGACAGGUUUUAAAAGGCUAAAAAUCUAGAGUGAAAGGUUAAAUAUCGGUAAGGGAGGGAAAAGAAAAAAAUCUGUGAGAAAAGUAAGGAAGAUCUGUGAAAGAAGUGUGAAAAAAAUGAGUGAAAAAUAAAACAAAGGAAAAACUGAGAAAGAGAGGCCUCAAAAUUGUCUGUUUAUUCUUGAUUUUUGAUCCAAAUUUGGAGUUCUACAGUUGAGUUCGCCAACCGAAAAGUAGCUUGACGUUAAAGCCCCAAGUUUGCUGCCCGAUAAAAGACUUGGAGACUAAAGUUCUAGAAAAGGACAUUCUUCUACUGGAAGAUGCUUGAUUAAAUGAUUGAGAUCUUAGAAAUUUUAAAUUUAUAGAUUCAUCUAGAUAUUGUACUACUUGUUCAAUAUUUGAAUGUUCUUCUAUUUCUGGCUCCGUUACGGAGUCGAAAUGUCAAUUAUCAUUUAUUAAUACAUCAUUCCAUUUUAUCAUUUUGGGGACAAAGGUAUUAUUAUGAUUAUGGUUAGCUUACAUAAGCAUGGUAGGUCCUUUAUUACUAAUUAAUUUAGCCUUAGGGCCUAAGGUUAGUUUCAUUAAUCUGUAAUAUACUCUAUAUAAUAUUGCUAUUUCUCUUGUAUUUACCU